CUUGUAGGUAUGAUUCCACGCA
RNAcentral lists this microRNA (22 nucleotides) under Amborella trichopoda. RNAcentral describes it as "atr-miR8615". The record is from miRBase by way of RNAcentral. Lineage: Eukaryota; Viridiplantae; Streptophyta; Magnoliopsida; Amborellales; Amborellaceae.